GUGGGGAAUAUUGCACAAUGGGGGAAACCCUGAUGCAGCGACGCCGCGUGGGUGACGAAGUAUUUCGGUAUGUAAAGCCCUAUCAGCAGGGAAGAAGCUGACAGUACCUGACUAAGAAGCCCCGGCUAACUACGUGCCAGCAGCCGCGGUAAUACGUAGGGGGCAAGCGUUAUCCGGAUUUACUGGGUGUAAAGGGAGCGUAGGUGGCAUGGCAAGCCAGAAGUGAAAACCCGGGGCUUAACUCCGCGGAUUGCUUUUGGAACUGUCAGGCUGGAGUGCAGGAGGGGCAGGCGGAAUUCCUGGUGUAGCGGUGAAAUGCGUAGAUAUCAGGAGGAACACCGGUGGCGAAGGCGGCCUGCUGGACUGUAACUGACACUGAGGCUCGAAAGCGUGGGGAGCAAACAGGA
RNAcentral lists this ribosomal RNA (407 nucleotides) under uncultured bacterium. Its description in RNAcentral is "bacterial SSU rRNA". It matches the Rfam family "Bacterial small subunit ribosomal RNA", at positions 354 to 777 of the family's 1533-position model. The record is from RNAcentral.